AGCUCACUGGUCUAGUGAUUUUGCGCGGAAAAUAUAACGGGGCUAAAGUAAGUACCGAAGCUGUAGACUUGCGCACAACUUAGAUUAUUUAAGUUUAGAAUAUGAGAAACUAAGUUAUGUUUAGUUAUAUUUUUACUGAUUUUUAUAGAGUAAAGAUAGAAAUAAAACUUAGUAAAAUCAGUAAAAAUAUUCUUAGGCUAAAGUUAAGUAGUUUAAGUUGUGUGCAAGUGGUAGGAGAGCGUUCUAUUUGCGUCGAAGGUAUACCGGUAAGGAGUGCUGGAGCGAAUAGAAGUGAGCAUGCAGGCAUGAGUAGCGAUAAUUAAUGUGAGAAUCAUUAACGCCGUAAACCCAAGGUUUCCUACGCGAUGCUCGUCAUCGUAGGGUUAGUCGGGUCCUAAGUCGAGUCCGAAAGGGGUAGACGAUGGCAAAUUGGUUAAUAUUCCAAUACCAACAUUAGUGUGCGAUGGAAGGACGCUUAGGGCUAAGGGGGCUAGCGGAUGGAAGUGCUAGUCUAAGGUCGUAGGAGGUUAUACAGGCAAAUCCGUAUAACAAUACUCCGAGAACUGAAAGGCUUUUUGAAGUCUUCGGAUGGAUAGAAGAACCCCUGAUGCCGUCGAGCCAAGAAAAGUUUCUAAGUUUAGCUAAUGUUGCCCGUACCGUAAACCGACACAGGUGGGUGGGAUGAGUAUUCUAAGGCGCGUGGAAGAACUCUCUUUAAGGAACUCUGCAAAAUAGCACCGUAUCUUCGGUAUAAGGUGUGGUUAGCUUUGUAUUAGGAUUUACUCCGAAAGCAAGGAAACUUACAACAAAGAGUCCCUCCCGACUGUUUACCAAAAACACAGCACUCUGCUAACUCGUAAGAGGAUGUAUAGGGUGUGACGCCUGCCCGGUGCUCGAAGGUUAAUUGAUGGGGUUAGCAUUAGCGAAGCUCUUGAUCGAAGCCCGAGUAAACGGCGGCCGUAACUAUAACGGUCCUAAGGUAGCGAAAUUCCUUGUCGGUUAAAUACCGACCUGCAUGAAUGGCGUAACGAGAUGGGAGCUGUCUCAAAGAGGGAUCCAGUGAAAUUGUAGUGGAGGUGAAAAUUCCUCCUACCCGCGGCAAGACGGAAAGACCCCGUGGACCUUUACUACAGCUUGACACUGCUACUUGGAUAAGAAUGUGCAGGAUAGGUGGGAGGCUUUGAGUAUAUGACGCCAGUUGUAUAUGAGCCAUUGUUGAGAUACCACUCUUUCUUAUUUGGGUAGCUAACCAGCUUGAGUUAUCCUCAAGUGGGACAAUGUCUGGUGGGUAGUUUGACUGGGGCGGUCGCCUCCCAAAUAAUAACGGAGGCUUACAAAGGUUGGCUCAGAACGGUUGGAAAUCGUUCGUAGAGUAUAAAGGUAUAAGCCAGCUUAACUGCAAGACAUACAAGUCAAGCAGAGACGAAAGUCGGUCUUAGUGAUCCGGUGGUUCUGUGUGGAAGGGCCAUCGCUCAAAGGAUAAAAGGUACCCCGGGGAUAACAGGCUGAUCUCCCCCAAGAGCUCACAUCGACGGGGAGGUUUGGCACCUCGAUGUCGGCUCAUCGCAUCCUGGGGCUGGAGCAGGUCCCAAGGGUAUGGCUGUUCGCCAUUUAAAGCGGUACGCGAGCUGGGUUCAGAACGUCGUGAGACAGUUCGGUCCCUAUCUGCCGUGGGCGUAAGAAGAUUGAAGAGAUUUGACCCUAGUACGAGAGGACCGGGUUGAACAAACCACUGGUGUAGCUGUUGUUCUGCCAAGAGCAUCGCAGCGUAGCUAAGUUUGGAAAGGAUAAACGCUGAAAGCAUCUAAGCGUGAAGCCAACUCUAAGAUGAAUCUUCUCUAAGCUCUCUAGAAGACUACUAGUUUGAUAGGCUGGGUGUGUAAUGGAUGAAAGUCCUUUAGCUGACCAGUACUAAUAGAGCGUUUGGCUUAUCUUUAAUAAAGCAU
This 1946-nucleotide ribosomal RNA is filed under the name Campylobacter jejuni. RNAcentral describes it as "partial 23S ribosomal RNA". It matches the Rfam family "Bacterial large subunit ribosomal RNA", at positions 1139 to 2925 of the family's 2925-position model. The record is from RNAcentral. Lineage: Bacteria; Pseudomonadati; Campylobacterota; Epsilonproteobacteria; Campylobacterales; Campylobacteraceae.